UCAAUAGACUUGAGAAAGGAUAUCAUUCGAACCUUCCAGUAAUCAUAAUUGGAGCCAUCCAGGAUUGGUGGCCUGUUGAUCGAUCCUCCCUCCUUAUUGUCCAUGAGAUCAAGAAAAUAUCUCCCUGGAGCUCACCCACACAGAACAGGGGUGCCUGCUCUGAUGCCAAUUGAAAUUCUAGAUCCCUUAGAACAAAUGUCCUGCACGAUGCUGGGACAAUCGAUUAGAACAUCAUAUGACUGAAAAGCAUGAACACAAAAAAAA
Molecule: long non-coding RNA, 264 nt
Filed under: Lotus japonicus
Lineage: Eukaryota; Viridiplantae; Streptophyta; Magnoliopsida; Fabales; Fabaceae
Description: long non-coding RNA (LJAP_LNC000001)
Source: RNAcentral